RNAcentral lists this long non-coding RNA (1164 nucleotides) under Octopus vulgaris (common octopus). The record is from RNAcentral. Lineage: Eukaryota; Metazoa; Mollusca; Cephalopoda; Octopoda; Octopodidae.
ACACACACACACACACACACUGACACAUACUCAAAGAAGACUCCAGUCACACAUACACGCACACACAUACAUAGAUACACAGAAACUGAAAGCAAGAAUGAAGAGUAAAAGAGAGAGAGAGGGAGAUAGUGAGAGACAGAGCUGAAAGAGAGAGUGAGUGACAGACAGAAUAAACAAGUUAAAGAGAGCGGGAGAGAUAAAGCGAAUCAAAGCAAUAGAGCGAAUGAGAAAGAAAGUGAGAACGAAGAAAUAUGAGAGAGUGAAAGAGAGAGAGGAAUGCGCACGGCAGGUCCGUUGCAACAGCAACUAAAGUGUUCCUCGAUUGAGGACGAGACGAGUGGGGAAGACAAAAUAAGCGACUGGCUGUUUGCCAGAUGUUAGUCUCCGACCAGGAUAACAGGCGAUGCUUCCCCGAGUCCAGGAAUCGCCAAGAACUGCCAGACUUCUUCCGUUGAUUCUCUCACGACAGGAAGAAAAGGAAGUACAAUUAAUAAGUCGGUAAUAAGAGAAAAAAAAGAGAGCAAGAAAGAGAGAGAAAGAAAGGACGAAAGAAGGAACGAAAGAAAGAGAGUUUGAAAGAAAAAGCGUGUGUGUGAGAGAGAGAGAGUGAGAGGGAAAGAACGCGAGACAGAAAGACAGCUUUUAAAUCUAAUAUAAACACGUAGAUUUAUCUGGAGAUAAAAAAAAAACGAGAAUUAUUUACAUAUAUACAUCUAACACACACACACACAUACAUACACAUAUAUAUGCAUAUUAUAUAAAUAUAUAAAUUUGCUAUCCCAUAGCAUAUACAACACAACCAUCAUACAUACCUUAACGUAUACAUACUCAAAGAAAGGAAAUAAGCAUACACAAUCGCACGCAUUUAUACAUACGCAAAUAUACACAUAUAACAAAUAAUAAAAGUGAUCAUACACACACACAAAAAAGCGUAAAUACAGAUAUUAUAUAUACAUAUAUAUAUAUAUUUCUGUACACGUAAUCAUGUGUGUAUAUAAUAUAUACACAAAGGUAUAAAUCCUAUUAAAAAAAAAAGAAAAAAAAAAAGAAAAGAAAAAGAUAUAACCUUUGUCCAUUCUGUAACGUUUAUAAUUCUUCAUUUUGGAAAUAUAUUUUACCAUUUAUUGUGGAGGUCGGAACACCUUUUUCCCCAAAACGCAAGGU